CACUUUUUAUAAUUGUUGAUUGACUAUAAGCUAUCUAAAAUUCUUCUUUACUUUACAUUAGAGUAUUGAAGAAUUGCAGGUGGUGGAUAGUGUAUCAUCAUCU
This 103-nucleotide microRNA precursor is filed under the name Oikopleura dioica. RNAcentral's name for it is "microRNA odi-mir-1497d precursor (odi-mir-1497d-1)". Lineage: Eukaryota; Metazoa; Chordata; Appendicularia; Copelata; Oikopleuridae. The record is from miRBase by way of RNAcentral.